GAUGAACGCUGGCGGUAUGCUUAACACAUGCAAGUCGAACGGUCUCUUAGGAGAUAGUGGCGGACGGGUGAGUAACGCGUGAGAAUCUGGCUUUAGGUCUGGGACAACCACUGGAAACGGUGGCUAAUACCGGAUGUGCCGAAAGGUGAAAGGUUAACUGCCUGGAGAUGAGCUCGCGUCUGAUUAGCUAGUUGGUAGGGUAAGAGCUUACCAAGGCGACGAUCAGUAGCUGGUCUGAGAGGACGAUCAGCCACACUGGGACUGAGACAC
This 270-nucleotide ribosomal RNA is filed under the name Rhizonema sp. 'cyanobiont of Dictyonema sp.'. RNAcentral's name for it is "partial 16S ribosomal RNA". It matches the Rfam family "Bacterial small subunit ribosomal RNA", at positions 28 to 327 of the family's 1533-position model. Lineage: Bacteria; Bacillati; Cyanobacteriota; Cyanophyceae; Nostocales; Rhizonemataceae. The record is from RNAcentral.